GUGUUUUUAUUUCUUUUUUUUGAAAUAUUUUUUAUUUAUUUUGGUCAUUUUUUUAUUUAACUGCUAUCGCACCCGCUGGUUUACCAGUCAUAAAACUCCCGCAAACGCACUAAUUUUCAAACGCUAAACCAGUCGUUCAAAACGCUUGAUAACGCUUAAAGCCGCAACCGCCCGCUUCCGCAAACUCCCGCAACCGCAACCGCAACCGCUGCGUU
Molecule: long non-coding RNA, 215 nt
Filed under: Arabidopsis lyrata
Lineage: Eukaryota; Viridiplantae; Streptophyta; Magnoliopsida; Brassicales; Brassicaceae
Description: long non-coding RNA (ALYR_LNC003192)
Source: RNAcentral